Molecule: ribosomal RNA, 198 nt
Filed under: uncultured bacterium
Lineage: Bacteria
Description: partial 16S ribosomal RNA
Rfam family: Bacterial small subunit ribosomal RNA
Source: RNAcentral
ACGCUCGACACCUACGGUAGGCAGCAGUGGGGAAUAUUGCACAAUGGGGGAAACCCUGAUGCAGCGACGCCGCGUGAAGGAAGAAGUAUCUCGGUAUGUAAACUUCUAUCAGCAGGGAAGAAAAUGACGGUACCUGACUAAGAAGCCCCGGCUAACUACGUGGCAGCAGCCGCGGUAAUCUGAGCGGGCUGGCAAGGC